RNAcentral lists this ribosomal RNA (394 nucleotides) under uncultured bacterium. RNAcentral's name for it is "bacterial SSU rRNA". It matches the Rfam family "Bacterial small subunit ribosomal RNA", at positions 954 to 1347 of the family's 1533-position model. The record is from RNAcentral.
AUGGGAACGCGAAGAACCUUACCUACUCUUGACAUCCAGAGAACUUAGCAGAGAUGCUUUGGUGCCUUCGGGAACUCUGAGACAGGUGCUGCAUGGCUGUCGUCAGCUCGUGUUGUGAAAUGUUGGGUUAAGUCCCGCAACGAGCGCAACCCUUAUCCUUUGUUGCCAGCGGUUCGGCCGGGAACUCAAAGGAGACUGCCAGUGAUAAACUGGAGGAAGGUGGGGAUGACGUCAAGUCAUCAUGGCCCUUACGAGUAGGGCUACACACGUGCUACAAUGGCGCAUACAAAGAGAAGCGACCUCGCGAGAGCAAGCGGACCUCAUAAAGUGCGUCGUAGUCCGGAUUGGAGUCUGCAACUCGACUCCAUGAAGUCGGAAUCGCUAGUAAUCGUAG